RNAcentral lists this ribosomal RNA (740 nucleotides) under uncultured archaeon. Its description in RNAcentral is "bacterial SSU rRNA". It matches the Rfam family "Archaeal small subunit ribosomal RNA", at positions 1 to 750 of the family's 1478-position model. The record is from RNAcentral.
UUCCGGUUGAUCCUGCCGGACCCGACUGCUAUCAGAGUGGGACUAAGCCAUGCGAGUCAACGUAGCAAUACGUGGCGUACGGCUCAGUAACACGUAGUCAACAUGCCCAGGGGACGAGGAUAACCUCGGGAAACUGAGGAUAAACCGCGAUAAGUCACUACUUCUGGAAUGGGUAAUGACACAAACCUACAUGGCCCCUGGAUUGGACUGCGGCCGAUCAGGCUGUUGGUGAGGUAAUGGCCCACCAAACCUGUAACCGGUACGGGCUCUGAGAGGAGGAGCCCGGAGAUGGGCACUGAGACAAGGGCCCAGGCCCUAUGGGGCGCAGCAGGCGCGAAACCUCUGCAAUAGGCGAAAGCCUGACAGGGUUACUCUGAGUGAUUUCCGUUAAGGAGAUCUUUUGGCACCUCUAAAAAUGGUGCAGAAUAAGGGGUGGGCAAGUCUGGUGUCAGCCGCCGCGGUAAUACCAGCACCCCGAGUGGUCGGGACGUUUAUUGGGCCUAAAGCAUCCGUAGCCGGUUCUGCAAGUCUUCCGUUAAAUCCACCUGCUUAACAGAUGGGCCGCGGAAGAUACUAUAGAGCUAGGAGGCGGGAGAGGCAAGCGGUACUCGAUGGGUAGGGGUAAAAUCCGUUGAUCCAUUGGAGACCACCAGUGGCGAAGGCGGCUUGCCAGAACGCGCUCGACGGUGAGGGAUGAAAGCUGGGGGAGCAAACCGGAUUAGAUACCCGGGUAGUCCCAG